Molecule: ribosomal RNA, 551 nt
Filed under: Antimora microlepis (finescale mora)
Lineage: Eukaryota; Metazoa; Chordata; Actinopteri; Gadiformes; Moridae
Description: partial 16S ribosomal RNA
Rfam family: Bacterial large subunit ribosomal RNA
Source: RNAcentral
GGCCCCGCCUGCCCUGUGACAAUAGUUUAACGGCCGCGGUAUUUUAACCGUGCGAAGGUAGCGUAAUCACUUGUCUUUUAAAUGGAGACCAGUAUGAAUGGCAUCACGAGGGCUUAACUGUCUCCCCUCUCCAGUCAAUGAAAUUGACCUUCCCGUGCAGAGGCGGGAAUAUUAAUAUAAGACGAGAAGACCCUGUGGAGCUUUAGACCUAAAAUACACCACGUCUAGUAUACUAUAACACCAGUAAAAGCCUAGUGGUUACAUAUUGAAGUGUCUUUGGUUGGGGCGACCGCGGGGUAAAACACAACCCCCUUGUGGACUGGGGAUAUUAUCCCUAAUACUCAGAGCCUCUACUCCAAGUAACAGAAAUUCUGACUUUCUGAUCCGGUAUUACCGAUCAACGAACCGAGUUACCCCAGGGAUAACAGCGCAAUCCCCUCUCAGAGCCCUUAUCGACGAGGGGGUUUACGACCUCGAUGUUGGAUCAGGACAUCCUAAUGGUGCAGCCGCUAUUAAGGGUUCGUUUGUUCAACGAUUAAAGUCCUACGUGA